This 927-nucleotide long non-coding RNA is filed under the name Ficedula albicollis (Collared flycatcher). RNAcentral's name for it is "lncRNA (ENSFALG00000025379.1)". Lineage: Eukaryota; Metazoa; Chordata; Aves; Passeriformes; Muscicapidae. The record is from RNAcentral.
GACCAGGGCCGGGUUCCCUUCCGUGUGGUUUAUCCGUGCUAUUUUCCUUUGCAGGAACCUCCUGUGACCGGGUGUUGGCAAACACGGACGUUGCCCUGGCAGUGCCAGACACCUUUGGCGGUGAACCUGCCGAGCUGGCGCAGCCCCCGUGACGGCCGCUCCUGCCGUGCCUGUGCCACCCGGGCACGGGAGGAUGCUGCUGGCUGGGACAGCUCUGGCCCCGGUACCUGGGCAGGGCUCGGGCGCCAAACCCAGCCCAGCACCCUCGGAAUUCCCUGCAGCGGUUGGGCCAGAGCCGAGCCUGGUGGGCGAAUUCUCUCAGAGCGAGGGGCUGCUCCCCCCGGGCGGUUCCUGCUGCCUCGGGGUCCCCUCGUGGUGCGGAGGGAGCGUGCCGGGCCCGAGCCUUCUGACUCACCGGCAGGUGCAUUGAGCAAUCUUCUGUUUCCCAAUCUGUUUUCUUUCUCAGGAAUUCAGUCAUCACGUUGCUUCCAGGGCAGCAAAAACGUAAUCCAGCUGCGAGUUCCCACACGCGGCUCCGCUGCUCGGCAGAUGCGGCGGAACCCCUCGUUUUUCACGGGGAGGAAGACAAGUCUGUGCCCACUGCUGAGCCCCGGGCCCCCCCCCCCCCCCCCCCCAAGUCUGUGCCCACUGCUGAGCCCCGGGAUGCCACCGCCUCCCCCGGGCCCCAUCCUGCCGCCUGAGCCACCUCUGGGGUCCUGCAGCCCUGCCCGGGGUGCACAGGGCAGCUGUGCGGGGCUGUGCAGGGCAGCACCCAGGGGCAGCACCCAGGGGCAGCACCCGGUGUUAGAAGCCGCCAGAGCCCUGCCCUGCGCUCCACGUGCCGCUCCCGUGUCGUUCCACAUUCACAUCCAUGGAACUCCUGGGCGAUCGUUUGUGAUGCUGCAGUUUGAAGGUUCCCACUCAUAA